Molecule: non-coding RNA, 185 nt
Organism: Podarcis lilfordi (Lilford's wall lizard)
Lineage: Eukaryota; Metazoa; Chordata; Lepidosauria; Squamata; Lacertidae
Source: the annotation of a GenBank genome assembly
GUCGAAAUAAAUAAAAAAAAUUAAAAAAUGGUCCAGUAGCACCUUAGAGACCAACUAAAUUUGUUCUGGGUAUAAGCUUUCGUGUAUCUGAGGAAGUUUGCAUGCACAGAAAAGCUUAUACCCAGAACAAACUUAGUUGGUCUCUUAGGUGCUACUGGACAAUUUAUUUAUUUAUUUAUUUCGAC